UCGCGAAAACUUUGCAAUAAGCGAAAGCUUGACAGGGCUAUCCCGAGUGCCAUCCGCUGAGGAAGGCUUUUACCCAGUCUAGUAAGCUGGGGGAAUAAGGAGAGGGCAAGUCUGGUGUCAGCCGCCGCGGUAAUACCAGCUCUCCGAGUGGUGUGGAUGUUUAUUGGGCCUAAAGCAUCCGUAGCUGGCUGAGUUAGUCCCCUGUUAAAUCCACCGAAUCAAUCGUUGGAUUGCGGGGGAUACUGCUCGGCUAGGGGACGGGAGAGGCAGACGGUAUUUCCGGGGUAAGGGUGAAAUCUUAUAAUCCCGGGAAGACCACCAGUGGCGAAGGCUGUCUGCUAGAACGCGCCCGACGGUGAGGGAUGAAAGCUGGGGUAGCGAACCGGAUUAGAUACCCGGGUAGUCCCAGCCGUAAACGAUGCAGGCUAGGUGUUUGGGCGGCCACGUGCCGCUCUAGUGCCGCAGGGAAGCUGUUAAGCCUGCCGCCUGGGGAGUACGAUCGCAAGAUUGAAACUUAAAGGAAUUGGCGGGGG
Molecule: ribosomal RNA, 533 nt
Filed under: uncultured archaeon
Lineage: Archaea
Description: bacterial SSU rRNA
Rfam family: Archaeal small subunit ribosomal RNA
Source: RNAcentral